UGGAUACAUUAGAUCUUGGGGAGAGGUUUGGUGGGUAGAUAUAGUCCCAGCUGGAUCAAGUAAUGGCAGCUUUUUUGUUCUAGCUUUAAGGCCUGAUGCUACUAGUAAAGGAGGCAAACACCUGUGAUUUCAGGCUCUUCUUCAAGCAUGACUGAAAAUUGAAGGUUCCUCAGCCAGUUCUCCCUGGACACUGGGCUGGGGUCUCCUUGUGCUGCUGUAUAUGAGGAGGCAAAGAGCAGCUCCACACUGAUGCCAGCACAAAAGGAAGGAGAAAGCGGGGCCAAGAUUCACUCCUUCAGGGAAAUCUGGCAUACAGAGGUUCUUUCCUUUGACAGGACUACUUCUCUGAGGCUUCCCACAUACAAUAUUUGAAAGAUUAAGCAGUCUGACAUGCCAGGUCAUCAUCAUUUCCUUUCUGGACUCGUGGUUGCUACAGCCUUGAUGCAGCUUGAUGCUUUCCAAAUAGAAGCAGGAGUUUCUUUGUGGAUGUUUACCCAUGCUACUCGCAGCACAAUUGCUUAUGGUCAUGCAGUUCAGUCCCUGUCAAUGAUCUCUGCUUUGCCAAGAGGUUUUGCUUAGAAAAGAAGUUCCAAUAGUUUUACUGGUCACGCUUUACAUCAGUGUAAUAACAAAGCAGCAUCUCUAACAUUUUUAUGUCAUCAUAUAUUAAAAUAUAUAUGUAUUUCAACAAACAUGAAUUAAAAUCACAAACACAAAGCAUAAAACAUCAUUGGGAAAUGAGUGAGUAGGGGAUCACUGAAGUGGGGAUUCAUUUCUCAAACAGAAAAAUUGAGUCCAUGAGAACUUGUAGUUUUCCCUAGCCACAUAGAAGGUUGUAUUGCUGAGAACAAGACUCACUUCUCUGGAAUUUCUGCUCAGUGUUUCAGCUCAAAACUGUUUGUUAAAAAGCAAACCAAAUGCACAAUGUGGAGCAACUCAUCAGCUGGGGACAGAUCUGACAUAGAUGCUCAAGACUGCACAUUAUGCAUCUGUAACAUCUUCCAGUCUUGCUGGCAGGAGAAAGAAAAGAGCACUAAUUCUGAUUUGUUUAUGCUUGCUCUGGCUGUUUUGAAUUAUUGAUAUGUCCCUUGAAACUGUCUCUGAUCAUUUCCCAUUGAGCACAGAGGCAUGUACUGGUAAGCAGAGACCUGGCCUUGCUGCUGGACUUUCUCCUGCUGAACUCAGCAUACAAGCUGUUCAUAGCAGUAACAGAUGUUUCUGCUUUUUAAGGUCUGUGGGAACCUCA
Anas platyrhynchos (mallard) is the source of this 1246-nucleotide long non-coding RNA. RefSeq lists it as uncharacterized. NCBI's taxonomy places the organism in Eukaryota, Metazoa, Chordata, Aves, Anseriformes, Anatidae. The record is from RefSeq and is a predicted model, not a curated record.